This 413-nucleotide ribosomal RNA is filed under the name uncultured microorganism. RNAcentral's name for it is "bacterial SSU rRNA". It matches the Rfam family "Bacterial small subunit ribosomal RNA", at positions 9 to 419 of the family's 1533-position model. The record is from RNAcentral.
GAGUUUGAUCGUGGCUCAGAGUGAACGCUGGCGGUAGGCCUAACACAUGCAAGUCGAACGGCAGCACAGAGGAGCUUGCUCCUUGGGUGGCGAGUGGCGGACGGGUGAGGAAUACAUCGGAAUCUACUCUGUCGUGGGGGAUAACGUAGGGAAACUUACGCUAAUACCGCAUACGACCUACGGGUGAAAGCAGGGGAUCUUCGGACCUUGCGCGAUUGAAUGAGCCGAUGUCGGAUUAGCUAGUUGGCGGGUAAAGGCCCACCAAGGCGACGAUCCGUAGCUGGUCUGAGAGGAUGAUCAGCCACACUGGAACUGAGACACGGUCCAGACUCCUACGGGAGGCAGCAGUGGGGAAUAUUGGACAAUGGGCGCAAGCCUGAUCCAGCCAUACCGCGUGGGUGAAGAAGGCCUUC